This 253-nucleotide ribosomal RNA is filed under the name uncultured bacterium. RNAcentral describes it as "partial 16S ribosomal RNA". It matches the Rfam family "Bacterial small subunit ribosomal RNA", at positions 524 to 776 of the family's 1533-position model. The record is from RNAcentral.
UACGUAGGGUGCAAGCGUUAAUCGGAAUUACUGGGCGUAAAGCGUGCGCAGGCGGUUCGCUAAGACAGAUGUGAAAUCCCCGGGCUUAACCUGGGAACUGCAUUUGUGACUGGCGGGCUAGAGUAUGGCAGAGGGGGGUAGAAUUCCACGUGUAGCAGUGAAAUGCGUAGAGAUGUGGAGGAAUACCGAUGGCGAAGGCAGCCCCCUGGGCCAAUACUGACGCUGAGGAGCGAAAGCAUGGGGAGCGAACAGG